RNAcentral lists this ribosomal RNA (463 nucleotides) under uncultured Bacteroidota bacterium. RNAcentral describes it as "bacterial SSU rRNA". It matches the Rfam family "Bacterial small subunit ribosomal RNA", at positions 335 to 795 of the family's 1533-position model. The record is from RNAcentral. Lineage: Bacteria; Pseudomonadati; Bacteroidota.
ACUCCUACGGGAGGCAGCAGUGAGGAAUAUUGGUCAAUGGACGGAAGUCUGAACCAGCCAUGCCGCGUGAAGGAUGAAGGCGUUCUGCGUUGUAAACUUCUUUUAUCUGGGAAGAAACCACAGAUUUCUAUUUGUGUUGACGGUACCAGAGGAAUAAGCACCGGCUAACUCCGUGCCAGCAGCCGCGGUAAUACGGAGGGUGCAAGCGUUAUCCGGAUUCACUGGGUUUAAAGGGUGCGUAGGCGGGCUAUUAAGUCAGAGGUGAAAUCUCCGGGCUCAACCUGGAAACUGCCUUUGAUACUAUUAGCCUUGAAUUAUGUUGAGGUUGGCGGAAUAUAACAUGUAGCGGUGAAAUGCUUAGAUAUGUUAUGGAACACCGAUUGCGAAGGCAGCUGGCUAAACAUAUAUUGACGCUGAUGCACGAAAGCGUGGGUAGCGAACAGGAUUAGAUACCCUGGUAGUC